Molecule: long non-coding RNA, 279 nt
Organism: Erpetoichthys calabaricus (reedfish)
Lineage: Eukaryota; Metazoa; Chordata; Cladistia; Polypteriformes; Polypteridae
Exons: 3
Source: RefSeq, a predicted model, not a curated record
AGUUGUUGUGGAAGGAUCUGCUGUUGUUGUUUCCACAGUUGUUGACCACCACCAGUUGCUGGUAGUUGUUGUGGAAGGAUCUGCUGUUGUUGUUUCCACAGUUGUUGACCACCACCAGUUGCUGGUAGUUGUUGUGGAAGGAUCUGCUGUUGUUGUUCCCACAGUUGUUGACCACCACCAGGUGCUUGGAGUUGAUGUGGAAGGAGCUGCUGUUGUGGAUUGUCCAUUCCACCCCCCCCAGUUGUUUGAGGUUGUUUUAUAAGGACUUGCUGAACUUCU